Molecule: ribosomal RNA, 720 nt
Filed under: Triticum aestivum (bread wheat)
Lineage: Eukaryota; Viridiplantae; Streptophyta; Magnoliopsida; Poales; Poaceae
Description: partial small subunit ribosomal RNA
Source: RNAcentral
AUGAACCUCUGGACGCUCGAGGGGGCGGGGGAAGCCAUUGGUGACAAGGUGAUCGUCGAUCGCUUGGACAGCCGGACGCACGAGCGCGUCGACACCAAGCUCUUCGCAUGUUGGGUCUGGUGCUGGGACACUGCCCAUAUCCCCACCACGCACCAUUUGGAAGCAUGCCAGGGGGCGGGCCGCGUCGACGAGAUGCUGGGCCACUCCCCUCCGAGCCGCGCAGUGGCUCCUCCGCCUGAGCUGCUGCAGUUCGACUUGCUCCUUCAUCUGGACCGUGUCGAGGACUGGACACCGCUCUCGCCGCGAUCCUCGCGCUCCCCGCAGAGUGGCAUCCCCUCGGAAGACGACAAGCCCGACGAGCGCCCCUACCCCCGCACCGAGCCGGGCGUGUGGACUGUGCAGGUGGAGGACGGCAGGACGGCGAUGGCGCCUGCGCCUACCAUGCGCCCGCAGCCCCGCGUGGCCUCCACGGGCUGCCGGGGCAUGCCCUCGGGCGGUGGGGGGCGCGACCGCGACCGCGACGGCGACGACCAAAGAUACCAGCGACGCACCUGGAAGGACACCCUCCUCGGCCUGGGACGGGCAAAUGCUCCCCCCCCCCGGGCCAAGGAACGGCAGCGCAGCUGGACCCCGAUCUCCCGCCAUCGGCAAGGUGCGCCACGCGGAAGACACAUGUGCAGCGACAAGACUCUGCCCCACGCCCCCGGCAAGAGCAAGUAA